Molecule: transfer RNA, 84 nt
Filed under: Puniceicoccales bacterium
Lineage: Bacteria; Pseudomonadati; Verrucomicrobiota; Opitutia; Puniceicoccales
Description: tRNA-Leu
Rfam family: tRNA
About the family: Transfer RNA (tRNA) molecules are approximately 80 nucleotides in length. Their secondary structure includes four short double-helical elements and three loops (D, anti-codon, and T loops).
Source: RNAcentral
GCUCGGGUGGUGGAAUGGUAGACACGCCAGACUUAGGAUCUGGUGCCGCAGGGCAUGAGGGUUCGAGUCCCUCUUCGAGCACCA